Molecule: microRNA precursor, 188 nt
Organism: Oryza sativa Japonica Group (Japanese rice)
Lineage: Eukaryota; Viridiplantae; Streptophyta; Magnoliopsida; Poales; Poaceae
Rfam family: MIR812 microRNA precursor family
Source: Rfam
AAUAAGUGCAGUUUUACACUAUUCACGUUCAACGUUUGACCGUUCGUCUUAUUUAAUUUUUUUUUAUGAUUAGUAUUUUUAUUACUAUUAUAUAAUAAAACAUUAAUAGUACUUUAUGUGUGACUAAAUGUUUUUAAAUAAUACGGAUGGUCAAAUAUUGGGCACAUAUAUUCACAGCUGCAUUUAUU